CUAACAGCAUUUUGCAUUCUUUUUGGACUGUUAUCCCUGGGUAAAAAAUUAUACUUUACACCAUUAGUGUACACACACGUUGGUGUAUGGUGUGUAUAUGUGCAUUAAAAUAAGUUUUCACUGAACGAAAUUUACUUUUAUUCCGUGGGAUAGGCACUGAUACUUUUCAUUAUUCCUUUUUAAAAAAUCUGUUAUGUCUCACAGCCUGACACUCUCAUACGGUGUUCCACAACUCAUAGUACCCCACACCAUGCUGACACUGUCCUCUUGUCUACUUAAAUGCCCCAAUACUCAAAUCUACCCUGUGCACACAGGACUCAACUUCUUAGGUGAUCUUUUCUCCUUGUCCCAUCUGGGCAUAGGUGAAGAAGGCCUCAACAACUGAGUCAUCAAUCGGUGAGGUGUCUUUAAAUUCUAACCCUGGCUGGA
Molecule: long non-coding RNA, 429 nt
Filed under: Bos taurus (domestic cattle)
Lineage: Eukaryota; Metazoa; Chordata; Mammalia; Artiodactyla; Bovidae
Description: long non-coding RNA NONBTAT026736
Source: RNAcentral